AGAGAAAGACGACUAAAGUUUCUUAAACUAUCUAAUCAUAUAGUUUAUUCUCAUCGCUGUUAAUUAUAAUCACAUAAAGUGGAGUCUCAUAGCUCAGCUGGUUAGAGCGCUACACUGAUAAUGUAGAGGUCGGCAGUUCAAGUCUGCCUGAGACUACUACGUUUAGUUUACAACUAAAUAAAAUGAGGAUUUUAGUAGCUGAGAUGAUUCUUAAAACUCAUUAUAUGGGGGAUUAGCUCAGCUGGCUAGAGCGCUUCGCUUGCACCGAAGAGGUCAUCGGUUCGACUCCGAUAUUCUCCACAAUCAGCUUUUUUGCUGAAAACGUUCUUUGACAUAUUGAAAAAAAUACAUGAAAUUAAAAAUUUCAAAUAAUCUAAAUUUAAUUAAUUAAUUAAUUGAGUUUACGAGCAAUAUAAUUUAUAACUCAUAAAAAUACAAAAGUUAC
RNAcentral lists this transfer RNA (445 nucleotides) under uncultured Flavobacteriaceae bacterium. Its description in RNAcentral is "16S-23S ribosomal RNA intergenic spacer". The stretch from base 83 to 156 matches the Rfam family "tRNA". Lineage: Bacteria; Pseudomonadati; Bacteroidota; Flavobacteriia; Flavobacteriales; Flavobacteriaceae. The record is from RNAcentral.